This 850-nucleotide ribosomal RNA is filed under the name Mesorhabditis sp. JH-2004. RNAcentral's name for it is "SSU rRNA". It matches the Rfam family "Eukaryotic small subunit ribosomal RNA", at positions 900 to 1783 of the family's 1831-position model. The record is from RNAcentral. Lineage: Eukaryota; Metazoa; Nematoda; Chromadorea; Rhabditida; Rhabditidae.
CUGCGUGAGAGGUGAAAUUCAUGGACCGUAGCGUGACGAACUAAAGCGAAAGCAUUUGCCAAGAAUGUCUUCAUUAAUCAAGAACCGAAAGUCAGAGGUUCGAAGGCGAUUAGAUACCGCCGUAGUUCUGACCGUAAACGAUACCAUCUAGCGAUCCGGUGGUGGUUUUACCGCCUUGCCGGGGAGCUUCCCGGAAACGAAAGACUUCCGGUUCCGGGGGUAGUAUGGUUGCAAAGCUGAAACUUAAAGGAAUUGACGGAAUCGCACCACCAGGAGUGGAGCCUGCGGCUUAAUUUGACUCAACACGGGAAAACUCACCCGGCCCGGACACUGUAAGGAUUGACAGACUGAGAGCUCUUUCUUGAUUCGGUGGUUGGUGGUGCAUGGCCGUUCUUAGUUGGUGGAGCGAUUUGUCUGGUUUAUUCCGAUAACGAGCGAGACGCACCCCUACUUAAUACACCGUGAAUAAUUUCGUUCACAGGUGUUCUUGAGGAAUUGGCGGUAUCGAGCCGCACGAAAGUGCGCAAUAACAGGUCUGUGAUGCCCUUAGAUGUUCGGGGCUGCACGCGUGCUACACUGGAGUCUGCAACGUGCUCCAUGGCCGAAGGGUCACUGGUAAACCGUUGAAAAGAUUCCGUGAUCGGGAUAGGGAAUUGCAAUUAUUUCCCUUGAACGAGGAAUUCCUAGUAAGUGUGAGUCAUCAUCUCGCUCUUAAUACGUCCCUGCGAUUUGUACACACCGCCCGUCCGCUACCCGGGACUGAACCGUUUCGAGAAAUCCAGGGAAUUGUUCGCGGGACUUGUUCCUUGCGAGUGGUGAACUGGCUUGAUCGCGACGGUUUGAACCGGGU